RNAcentral lists this ribosomal RNA (1094 nucleotides) under Cellulosimicrobium cellulans. RNAcentral's name for it is "bacterial SSU rRNA". It matches the Rfam family "Bacterial small subunit ribosomal RNA", at positions 48 to 1156 of the family's 1533-position model. The record is from RNAcentral. Lineage: Bacteria; Bacillati; Actinomycetota; Actinomycetes; Micrococcales; Promicromonosporaceae.
CUUACACAUGCAGUCGAACGAUGAUGCCCAGCUUGCUGGGCGGAUUAGUGGCGAACGGGUGAGUAACACGUGAGUAACCUGCCCUUGACUUCGGGAUAACUCCGGGAAACCGGGGCUAAUACCGGAUAUGAGCCGCCUUCGCAUGGGGGUGGUUGGAAAGUUUUUCGGUCAGGGAUGGGCUCGCGGCCUAUCAGCUUGUUGGUGGGGUGAUGGCCUACCAAGGCGACGACGGGUAGCCGGCCUGAGAGGGCGACCGGCCACACUGGGACUGAGACACGGCCCAGACUCCUACGGGAGGCAGCAGUGGGGAAUAUUGCACAAUGGGCGAAAGCCUGAUGCAGCGACGCCGCGUGAGGGAUGAAGGCCUUCGGGUUGUAAACCUCUUUCAGCAGGGAAGAAGCGCAAGUGACGGUACCUGCAGAAGAAGCGCCGGCUAACUACGUGCCAGCAGCCGCGGUAAUACGUAGGGCGCAAGCGUUGUCCGGAAUUAUUGGGCGUAAAGAGCUCGUAGGCGGUUUGUCGCGUCUGGUGUGAAAACUCGAGGCUCAACCUCGAGCUUGCAUCGGGUACGGGCAGACUAGAGUGCGGUAGGGGAGACUGGAAUUCCUGGUGUAGCGGUGGAAUGCGCAGAUAUCAGGAGGAACACCGAUGGCGAAGGCAGGUCUCUGGGCCGCAACUGACGCUGAGGAGCGAAAGCAUGGGGAGCGAACAGGAUUAGAUACCCUGGUAGUCCAUGCCGUAAACGUUGGGCACUAGGUGUGGGGCUCAUUCCACGAGUUCCGUGCCGCAGCAAACGCAUUAAGUGCCCCGCCUGGGGAGUACGGCCGCAAGGCUAAAACUCAGAGGAAUUGACGGGGGCCCGCACAAGCGGCGGAGCAUGCGGAUUAAUUCGAUGCAACGCGAAGAACCUUACCAAGGCUUGACAUGCACGAGAAGCCACCAGAGAUGGUGGUCUCUUUGGACACUCGUGCACAGGUGGUGCAUGGUUGUCGUCAGCUCGUGUCGCGAGACGUUGGGUUAAGUCCCGCAACGAGCGCAACCCUAGUCCNAUGUUGCCAGCGGGUUAUGCCGGGAACUCAUGGAAGACUGCCGGG